ACUUAAAUUGAAGAGUUUGAUCAUGGCUCAGAUUGAACGCUGGCGGCAGGCCUAACACAUGCAAGUCGAACGGCAGCACAGAAGAGCUUGCUCUUUGGGUGGCGAGUGGCGGACGGGUGAGUAAUGUCUGGGAAACUGCCCGAUGGAGGGGGAUAACUACUGGAAACGGUAGCUAAUACCGCAUAACGUCG
Molecule: ribosomal RNA, 191 nt
Filed under: Pantoea dispersa
Lineage: Bacteria; Pseudomonadati; Pseudomonadota; Gammaproteobacteria; Enterobacterales; Erwiniaceae
Description: partial 16S ribosomal RNA
Rfam family: Bacterial small subunit ribosomal RNA
Source: RNAcentral